CCGGUCUGUUGAGCUUGAAUAUUAUGAAGUCAUCAUCGUGACACUUCUUCCACAAAUAAAUUAGAGUAAAAAGAAAAUUAGAAAACGUGUAAAAUUAAAAGAAAAAAAAAAGAAAUAAAAGAAAUUGCUUAAUCAAGUAAGAGCAGAUCAAGCUAUCAAACAUUAACUUAUACGUAAAUACCAUUGAUCACAUUUUGUAUUCCAUGCGAAAUUGGUUUUUAUGAAAAUGUUUCAUGUAAAACUGAACAAUGAAACUACAAAUCCUUGAUUUAUAUUAUAACUACAUAGUAAAAACUCAUAUCAAAACAUUAAAACUACAACUUGACAAAAGAUAAUUAACUAUUAGCGAUUAUUAAGGAAAAGCAAUUAAAAUUCAAUUAGUGGUAACUCACAACAAAUCUAUAGAAGGAUUUCCAGAUCACAAAUCCAUACCACAGAAAAUGCAAUCAUGAACCAGGAAUUUCAGAGAAGGUACAUGUUAAAGCUAAGCAAAAGCACUCAAAGAAAACAUUUUCAUAGGAAGCGAUUGAACUUCGAAAGGUAUGACACAAGCCACCAUAUCAUCAUCAGAACGAUAAUCAAUUUCAUUCACAACCAUAACUAGUUGUGUCCAAAGGUGUCCUAAGAUUGAUCUGUGUCAUCAUUUGACUUAUGGCAACCAAUAAACUAAGAAAAAUGUUGCAAAAAAAAAAAAAAAAAAAAUAUGUGCCACAAAUUAAAAACCAAAAGUAAAACUUGAAUUAAUAAACAGUAUGUGAUUCAGUUGCAACAUAAACAUAAUCACUAUUAUAAAAUCAGUCCAAGUGUUGGAAUUAAAAUAAUUGCUUCAUCAUCAUCACCAUUAGAACAAAAUAUAAAACGGCAGUUUCAUAAAUAGAAAAACAAGAAUAAAAGGUCAUUCAUCACCGAAAUCAGAAGAGGGAGCUUAGAUAUCCUCAUUAUGAUUUCAAUUUAAAAAACCACUAAAUAAGUUAGAAAAAUAAAUCAAAAGAAAAAAGAGUCACUCAGUUCAGCGGGGUAAUCGACACGCAAGCAAACUCUAAAAAUAGAGAAGCCUGCAAUCCGGUCUGUUGAGCUUGAAUAUUAUGGAGUCGUCACCGUGACCUUUUUUCCAUCAAAAAUCAAUUAGGGCAAGAAAAUGAAGAAAAAUUAAAAAGUAGAUCUGGGGGAGGAAUGAAAAUGCUCAGUGGUGGCUAGUUGUUAUUGGUUCGAUUCUGCCAGCAAGUUUCCUCAAUGUUACUCAGAAGAGGGAGCUUGGAAUCCUCAUUGCAAAAUCCACCUCCCCAAAAAUUGUUUACAAAAUCUAACAAAGAGAUUUAAAAAGCAUAUAUUAAAGAUGUAAAGAAGAGAUGGCUCAGGGAAGAAGGAGAUCGACAUGCAAAGACAGAAGCCCCUGACAAUCCGGUCUGUUUAGCUUGAUCUUUCAGAGUCCGCAUAGCCACUCUUCCUUCUACAUCAACUAAAAGUAUAAAUCAGAAAAUGCAAUAAAGAAAGGAAAAGGAAGAGGAGUUUGUUGCUGCUUUACUGUGUGAAUGGUGUGGGGGCGGUGACUAUUAAUUUAUAGAGGUACAACUAGGGUUUGUAGAUUUUUUUAAGAUGGAGAAGC
Molecule: long non-coding RNA, 1606 nt
Filed under: Capsicum annuum
Lineage: Eukaryota; Viridiplantae; Streptophyta; Magnoliopsida; Solanales; Solanaceae
Description: long non-coding RNA (CANN_LNC002772)
Source: RNAcentral